CUUCCGUUAGUUAAGUUGGAUAUAACAGUAACCUCCUAAGUUUCAGUCUCCCGUUCGAGUCGGGAACGGAAGG
RNAcentral lists this transfer RNA (73 nucleotides) under Vibrio phage 1.187.O._10N.286.49.F1. RNAcentral's name for it is "tRNA-Arg". It matches the Rfam family "tRNA". From Rfam's summary of the family: Transfer RNA (tRNA) molecules are approximately 80 nucleotides in length. Their secondary structure includes four short double-helical elements and three loops (D, anti-codon, and T loops). The record is from RNAcentral. Lineage: Duplodnaviria; Heunggongvirae; Uroviricota; Caudoviricetes.